This 251-nucleotide ribosomal RNA is filed under the name uncultured bacterium. RNAcentral describes it as "partial 16S ribosomal RNA". It matches the Rfam family "Bacterial small subunit ribosomal RNA", at positions 73 to 339 of the family's 1533-position model. The record is from RNAcentral.
AAGUCCUUCGGGAUGAGUAGAGUGGCGCACGGGUGAGUAACGCGUAAGUAAUCUAUCCCUGUAUCUGGAAUAACUAUGGGAAACUGUAGCUAAUACCGCAUACGCCCUACGGGGGAAAGGCUUCGGCCGCAUUUGGAUGAGCCCGCGUAAGAUUAGCUAGUUGGUGGGGUAAUGGCCUACCAAGGCUACGAUCUUUAACUGGUCUGAGAGGACGAUCAGUCACACUGGAACUGAGACACGGUCCAGACUCC